This 253-nucleotide ribosomal RNA is filed under the name uncultured bacterium. RNAcentral describes it as "partial 16S ribosomal RNA". It matches the Rfam family "Bacterial small subunit ribosomal RNA", at positions 524 to 776 of the family's 1533-position model. The record is from RNAcentral.
UACAGAGGGGGCAAGCGUUGUUCGGAAUUAUUGGGCGUAAAGCGCGUGUAGGCGGUUUGUUAAGUCUGGUGUGAAAGCCCUGGGCUCAACCUGGGAAGUGCAUUGGAUACUGGCAAACUUGAGUACGGGAGAGGAUAGUGGAAUUUCGAGUGUAGGGGUGAAAUCCGUAGAUAUUCGAAGGAACACCGGUGGCGAAGGCGGCUAUCUGGACCGAUACUGACGCUGAGACGCGAAAGCGUGGGGAGCAAACAGG